GAUGAAGAACGUAGCGAAAUGCGAUAAGUAGUGUGAAUUGCAGAAUUCAGUGAAUCAUCGAAUCUUUGAACGCACAUUGCGCCCCUUGGUAUUCCAUGGGGCAUGCCUGUUCGAGCGUCAUUUGUACCUUCAAGCUUUGCUUGGUGUUGGGUGUUUGUCUCGCCUCCGCGUGUAGACUCGCCUCAAAACAAUUGGCAGCCGGCGUAUUGAUUUCGGAGCGCAGUACAUCUCGCGCUUUGCACUCACAACGACGACGUCCAAAAGUACAUUUUUACACUCUUGACCUCGGAUCAGGUAGGGAUACCCGCUGAACUUAAGCAUAUCAAUAAGCGAAGGA
This 337-nucleotide unclassified non-coding RNA is filed under the name soil metagenome. Its description in RNAcentral is "partial contains 5.8S ribosomal RNA, internal transcribed spacer 2, and large subunit ribosomal RNA". The stretch from base 1 to 120 matches the Rfam family "5.8S ribosomal RNA", at positions 35 to 154 of the family's 154-position model. The record is from RNAcentral.